CGCGGGGUAGAGCAACGGUAGCUCGUCAGGCUCAUAACCUGAAGAUUGUCGGUUCGAUUCCGGCCCCCGCAA
This is a non-coding RNA of Parcubacteria bacterium C7867-002, 72 nucleotides long. The record is from Rfam. NCBI's taxonomy places the organism in Bacteria, Candidatus Parcubacteria.